GAAAUGCGAUAAGUAAUGUGAAUUGCAGAAUUCAGUGAAUCAUCGAAUCUUUGAACGCACAUUGCGCUCGCCAGUAUUCUGGCGAGCAUGCCUGUUCGAGCGUCAUUUCAACCAUCAAGCUCUGCUUGCGUUGGGGAUCCGCGGCUGCCCGCGGUCCCUCAAAAACAGUGGCGGGCUCGCUAGUCACACCGAGCGUAGUAACUCUACAUCGCUAUGGUCGUGCGGCGGGUUCUUGCCGUAAAACCCCCAAUUUCUAAGGUUGACCUCGUAUCAGGUAGGAAUACCCGCUGAACUUAAGC
This 299-nucleotide unclassified non-coding RNA is filed under the name plant metagenome. RNAcentral's name for it is "partial contains 5.8S ribosomal RNA, internal transcribed spacer 2, and large subunit ribosomal RNA". The stretch from base 1 to 105 matches the Rfam family "5.8S ribosomal RNA", at positions 50 to 154 of the family's 154-position model. The record is from RNAcentral.